UACAGAGGUCUCAAGCGUUGUUCGGAUUCAUUGGGCGUAAAGGGUGUGUAGGUGGCGCCGUAAGUCGGGUGUGAAAUUCGGAGCUUAACUCCGAAACUGCAUUCGAUACUGCGGUGCUUGAGGACUGGAGAGGAGACUGGAAUUCAUGGUGUAGCAGUGAAAUGCGUAGAGAUCAUGAGGAAGACCAGUGGCGAAGGCGGGUCUCUGGACAGUUCCUGACACUGAGACACGAAGGCCAGGGGAGCAAACGGG
This 252-nucleotide ribosomal RNA is filed under the name uncultured bacterium. RNAcentral's name for it is "partial 16S ribosomal RNA". It matches the Rfam family "Bacterial small subunit ribosomal RNA", at positions 524 to 776 of the family's 1533-position model. The record is from RNAcentral.